This 497-nucleotide ribosomal RNA is filed under the name uncultured bacterium. RNAcentral's name for it is "partial 16S ribosomal RNA". It matches the Rfam family "Bacterial small subunit ribosomal RNA", at positions 28 to 507 of the family's 1533-position model. The record is from RNAcentral.
GAUGAACGCUGGCGGCGUGCCUAAUACAUGCAAGUCGAGCGAACAGAUGAGGAGCUUUCUCCUCUGACGUUAGCGGCGGACGGGUGAGUAACACGUGGAUAACCUACCUCUAAGACUGGGAUAACUUCGGGAAACCGGAGCUAAUACCGGAUAAUAUAUUGAACCGCGUGGUUCAAUAGUGAAAGACGCUUUUUCUGUCACUUAUAGACGGAUCCGCCCCGCAUUAGCUAGUUGGUAAGGUAACGGCUUACCAAGGCAACGAUGCCUAGCCGCCCUAAAGGGGUGAUCGGCCACACUGGAACAGAGACACAGUACAGACACCUAGAGGGAGAAGCAGUAGAGAAUCUUCCGCAAUGGGCGAAUGCCUGACGGAGCAACGCCGCCGGAGUGAUGAAGGACUUCGGAUCGUAAAGCUCUGUUAGUAGGGAGGAACAAAUGUGUAAGUAACUAUGCACGUCUUGACGGUACCUAGACAAAAAGCCACGGCUAACUACGUG